GAGGUAGGCGGGGCCCGCCGUGGUCCUCCCGGCCCCGGGGCGCCCGAAGUCCACCCCAGGCUGGAACGAGGCGCAAAUAAUUCGUUCUUCCGAACAGCAUAAAAUGCAGGCGACGAGGGGGAGGGGGACCGGAGGGCCUACCCGCGAAGUUCAGACGCUAAGGAUGUGCUUCAGGAAGGCUGCAGAGACAGGAGACAAGAGAGCUUCAAGAAGCAGACCCCCGGGCCACCAACCCCCAAGUUUUAGUGUUUUGAAGAUUAGCAUCCUUUGACACCUUACCAGCAUUCUACCACUGAAAAUUGAAGACUGGAGAUGAAGGACCUUGAGCACCUCGGCGUUGGUGGGGUUCUGGCCCAGGGCCCUCAUCACAUCCCCACACUGGCUGUACAGGAUCUUGCCAUCACCUACUCGGUCAAACAGCUCAAAGGCCUCCUUGAACUCUGAGAAGAGGUUUACAGGAGAGGACUCACCACCACUUUGGAGAGAUCAACAGGGGGCUCCUGGGUUUUCACAGGCAUCUGGGAGACAGCUGGCUCAGCCUUGGUCUUUGCUGGAGGGGUUCCUGCUGCAGGCUUGGCAGCAGG
Molecule: long non-coding RNA, 584 nt
Organism: Perognathus longimembris pacificus (Pacific pocket mouse)
Lineage: Eukaryota; Metazoa; Chordata; Mammalia; Rodentia; Heteromyidae
Exons: 5
Source: RefSeq, a predicted model, not a curated record